UACGAGAGGAGCGAGCAUUAUUCGGAAUGAUUUGGCGUAAAGGGUUUGUAGGUUGUUUUUUAAGUUAAAUAGGAAAUAUUAAAGCAUAACUUUAUUAACUAUUUAAAACUAAAAAACUUGAGUAUAAAUAGAAGAUAAUGGAAUUUUUAUUGAAGGGGUAAAAUCCGUAGAUAAUAAAAGGAAGGCCAAUGGUGAAAACAAUUGUCUGGGUAUAUACUGACACUGAGAAACGAAAGCUUGGGGAGCAAACGGG
This 253-nucleotide ribosomal RNA is filed under the name uncultured bacterium. Its description in RNAcentral is "partial 16S ribosomal RNA". It matches the Rfam family "Bacterial small subunit ribosomal RNA", at positions 524 to 776 of the family's 1533-position model. The record is from RNAcentral.